RNAcentral lists this unclassified non-coding RNA (622 nucleotides) under Hevea brasiliensis (rubber tree). Lineage: Eukaryota; Viridiplantae; Streptophyta; Magnoliopsida; Malpighiales; Euphorbiaceae. The record is from RNAcentral.
CUUUGCUCUUCUAAGCAAAGGGAGGGUCGCGCCCCGCCGGCCCCCCCCCCCUCUCUCGCCCGGUUCGUGGGUUCCCUCUCCACCUCAGAUGGGUUUGUAGAUAAUUUUUUGUAUGCAGAAGUAGACAAUGGAGACUAGAAUAAGGAUCUAAAGUGGCUGCUGUAACUCCAUUGUUUGUUAGUUCUUUCUGUUCUUGGUUUUAUAGUUGUUGCAUAUAGAUGGUUUUAAGAGAUUUUGGUCCAUCGACCAUGCUGCUUGUGUGUGUGGAUCUGUAUUGAUAGGACACAAGGGAGGAAAGUAAUCUCACGGUCUUUAUCAACAACAACAUGUGCUAGCUAACCCAAGAUAGAGCUCUGCUUUCUUCUCCAACUUGAGCAUCAAAGAUUAUAACAACUCAAGCAUCAGUGUGUUUCCUUCGUUGAUGAUGGUGAGAGGUUGUGUUCUAUGUACAAUCUAGUGAAACGUAUCCACAGAGUAUACAAAAUCGCACAAGUAAUAUAGAUUGAGUACAAGUAAUAUAGAUUGAGUAGAGAAUAUAGAUUGAGUAGAGUAUCAUUCUCGUAAGAAUUGUCUUUAAUUAUCAAAAUUUAUAUUAAUUUUACUAUUUUAUAGACAAUUAAAA